Molecule: ribosomal RNA, 67 nt
Filed under: Burkholderia contaminans
Lineage: Bacteria; Pseudomonadati; Pseudomonadota; Betaproteobacteria; Burkholderiales; Burkholderiaceae
Also listed under: 2 other names
Description: partial 23S ribosomal RNA
Source: RNAcentral
GUUAUAGGGUCAAGCGAACAAGUGCAUGUGGUGGAUGCCUUGGCGAUCACAGGCGAUGAAGGACGCG